UGGGUAACCUGCCUCAAAGAGGGGAAUAGCCUCCCGAAAGGGAGAUUAAUACCGCAUAAUAUGUUUAGGUCGCAUGACUUUAACAUCAAAGGAUUUUCUUAGGAAAUUCCACUUUGAGAUGGACCCGCGGCGCAUUAGCUAGUUGGUGAGGUAACGGCUCACCAAGGCAACGAUGCGUAGCCGACCUGAGAGGGUGAUCGGCCACAUUGAACUGAGACACGGUCCAGACUCCGUAGGGA
This 239-nucleotide ribosomal RNA is filed under the name uncultured bacterium. Its description in RNAcentral is "partial 16S ribosomal RNA". It matches the Rfam family "Bacterial small subunit ribosomal RNA", at positions 118 to 346 of the family's 1533-position model. The record is from RNAcentral.